GCUGCUGUCACCUGUCAUCACUGCUGGACAGAUGAUUUCAACACAGACAUUACAAGUGGUCCAGCCUCUUCAUAAGCCUGCAGUAAAGACGCUGCAGCUUGUGAUCACUGGUGUCAUGAGGACAAGGAAUGGCAUCUCCCUAACAGGACUCAAGAGCCUAUGCCAUCAUCUGUGGUAUUAAGCAGGUUUCAAUUAGGAUUUUAGGUGGAUUUCUGCUUUGUUCUGCGGAAGUUUUAAUCAAGGCAGAAAAACUCUGGCACUUCACUCUCCUCACAACAGUCAGUCACCAAAGCUUUGCAGUUUUCUUCCUGAAGCUUCCCCUCCCUCGGGCACAUUUUUAGCAAAAAGAUGCAAUCCUAAGCUCUCCAGAUGUUGCCUCUCAGAUGUGCCUCAGCACGCAUCUCAGAGCCAUCUGGCCGCAGCAACAGCUGGACUGCUUCCAAGUGGAAGUGCUCACAGAUCUAGCUGUCCUGGGCUGUCUUUCUCCACGGUAACAGGCAGAGGGAGCCAAGCAGAGAUGGGAGCUCUAGGAGAUUUUCCCACUGAUGCCCCCAGGCACCCCAGCCCUGGGCAGCCUCUUCUCAGACUGCCAAGGAGCCACUGUUGCCAUUGAUGGCCUCAUCCUGUGAGAACAACCAUUCGGCAGGCACCGGCUACACGGACUGAGAAGCUGAUAACUGAUCAGAGUCAAGCUGAGCCUAUCAACCCCUUUCCAUGUCCCCAGAGAUAAACAGGAGCAAACCUAAGAUAAAACACCACCGAGUGCACUUCCCUGGGACCAUUUCAAGAGCUUCAGACCUCUGGAAACACAUAUGUGAACCAGCAGGAUGGCCACAUCACCCAUAGGGCAGUAGAGGUAGAUGCCAAAUGCAGAGAAACUGAGUCAUAAAUGUCUGUAACUCUUCCUGUGGGUGUGAGGAACCUGUCUCUCAACCCAGCUUGAAUGGGAUUUGUUUCUGCAACUGGAAUAAUCUUAAAUCAUCCAUUCUGACACCAGAGACUCAGCACUUUCAGUUUCAGAAUUUCAUCAUGAUGGUGGGAAACAUGGCAGCAUGCAGGAAGACAUGGUACUGGAAGAGCCAAGACUUCUACAUCUUGAUCUGAAAGCAGCCAGGAAGAGGGACUAUCUUCCAUAGGGAGCCAGGAGUGGACACUCUUCCACAUUGGGUAGGGCCUGAGCAUAAGAGUCUCAAACCCCACCUCUACAGUGACAUGCUUCCUCCAAUAAGGUCACACCUACUUCAACAAGGUCACACCUCCUCAUAGUGCUACUCCUGGGCCAAGCAUAUUCAAACUAUCACAAAUAUGAAGUAGUUGGAUGUCAUUUACAAUGAAGGUUGAAACUUAUCAAAGGGAAUAUAAGCCAAUUUCCUCCUGGUGAGACACUAGAUUUUAUAAAUUUAUUUUUAGUUUUCAUUUGCUCUGUUACAAUAACUUGACGUUAUUGGGAGGUAGAACCUGGUUGGUUGAAGUAGGACACUGAGGAUGUAUCUGGACCCAUGUCCCUGCCCCUCCCACUUUCUGAUUACUGUCCGUCACAAGUGGGUGCCUUACCCUAUCACAUAGUCUUACAGCCCUGAAGUUUUGACUCACCACAGGCUCUUCCUCUAACUGAGCUGACAACUCACACCAGUACCCUGGAGAUGGACUUGGGGUUACUGGAACCUCUGUCUGGUCCUCCUCCCAGUGCACAUUGAUGAACUCACCCAUUUUUUGUUUUUUACCAUUGCCUCUCUCUUUAAUCAGUGUACUGGGGAUGAGUGGCCAAGCAGAACCUGAGAUUUUGCCCUAGAAUUCUUGUUACAAAAGUUCUAAAACUGUGAGAUAAAUCUUUCUUUCCAGCUG
Non-coding RNA from Mus caroli (Ryukyu mouse), 1845 nucleotides. NCBI's taxonomy places the organism in Eukaryota, Metazoa, Chordata, Mammalia, Rodentia, Muridae. The record is from RefSeq and is a predicted model, not a curated record.